This 775-nucleotide long non-coding RNA is filed under the name Solanum tuberosum (potato). RNAcentral's name for it is "long non-coding RNA (STUB_LNC011368)". The record is from RNAcentral. Lineage: Eukaryota; Viridiplantae; Streptophyta; Magnoliopsida; Solanales; Solanaceae.
UUAAUACUUUUAAAUGUGGUGUCAUUAGUUAAUACUUAAUCAAUAGACUCAAGAUAAACUAUAUAUAUAAAUGGUUGGUGUCCAAACUUGUCUAACAAUUUGUGUAACUGCCACCUACUAAUGCUUCAUAAAUUACUGUAAGUAUAUUUUUGAUUUAAUUGCUAACUGCUACUCCCUCCGUCCCUAUUUAGUUGUCCAUAUUUCCUUUUUUAGUUGUCCCUAUUUAGUUGUCCAUUUUGACAAAUCAAGAAAGGACAACAAUUUUUUUCCUAUUAUACCCUUAUUUACACUUCUUGAAAAUUUCUAAAAGUGUAUGUUGUUUCCCUCCAAUUUAUUUCACUUGAAUUCAAAGAAGUGGUUGUAAUUUUGAAGUGAAAAUUGUCAUAAGGGUAAAAUUGUAACUUUACUGUGCUAAUUAUUGUUGCCUUAAUCUGUGUGCCAUUUCUAAAGUGGACAACUAAAAAGGGACGGAGGGAGUACUACAUAUAUGGUGUAUGACAUAAGUUUCCUGGCAUGUAAUAACUUUCUGUUUCUUCACCACAUUAAGAUUUCAGUGUCUUUAUAUCUAUCAUUUUCUCUGACAAAGUGUGCUUAGUUUUCAACAAGAACUAAUUAUUAGACUUCAUGUUCUUUUUUUGAGGUAUCAUUUUGUGGGUUGCAGCAAAUAUUACUAUUUCCCGUUUCAAAUUUUGGUGCCCUUUUUAAAUGUGAUCACAUUAUAUAUAUCAUUUCUGAGAACAUAAUUAUUAUGCUGAUAAUUUACAGGUUAGCUUUG